AACGAUGUAGCUCAACUGGGAGAGCGCAAGGUUUCGGCCUUGAGGAUGCCUGUUCAAAUCGGGCCAUCGUUA
Phytophthora infestans T30-4 is the source of this 72-nucleotide transfer RNA. It matches the Rfam family "tRNA". Rfam says of the family: Transfer RNA (tRNA) molecules are approximately 80 nucleotides in length. Their secondary structure includes four short double-helical elements and three loops (D, anti-codon, and T loops). Lineage: Eukaryota; Oomycota; Peronosporomycetes; Peronosporales; Peronosporaceae. The record is from Rfam.